Long non-coding RNA from Arvicola amphibius (Eurasian water vole), 5528 nucleotides. RefSeq lists it as uncharacterized. The transcript has 5 exons. NCBI's taxonomy places the organism in Eukaryota, Metazoa, Chordata, Mammalia, Rodentia, Cricetidae. The record is from RefSeq and is a predicted model, not a curated record.
GCCGAGAGGGUAGCCUUUAGCAUCAAACAGCACAGGUUCAAAUUCCAGCCCCUCCGUUUACCAUCUGUGUAACCUGGAGCAAUUUACUUAACCUCUCUCUCAAAUACAGAUGGACCAACAGCACCUAUUGACCCAAGCAAAGGUAUUGAGGGACCGCUGACAUUCUGCAAGGCCCAGCAUAGGUGUGCUGGGAUUUACAUGUGCAAACCAGCCAGUUUUUAUGUGGAUUCUGGGGAUCGCUAUCAGACUUACUGGCGCUGAGCCAUAUCACCAGCCUUGUUUGUGAAACAGUAUCUCCAAGGCACAGGACACUAUUCAGAACCCAAACCCACUUAUCGGCAGCUGAAUAAACAAAAGUGAGGACUUGAGCGCCGCCUGGUGGUCAGACUAGUUAAACCAAUGCCUUUGAACCUUACUUGAACCUUUCUUGGUCUGCCUGGCUUCAGCCUGAGAACCUUGCAACUUUGGUAAGGUUGGCAAUCUGGGCACACCCCUGACCGGGGCAACUGAAAUCUUUGAUGAAGGAAGAAAUGAAACUUUGAAAUCAGUAGGCUCAGGUAAAAGACUGGAGCAUUGAGGGAAACACUGGUUUCUAGAAAUUUCUGCCUUCCUGCUCUUUAUUGUCACUAUCCCAGGAUGACCUGGGGCGUCAGAGAACUAGCUUCUCAAUGCAUGAGAUUUCCUUGGACCCUGUUACAGCCAGAGUGCCAGGGAAUAAAGAAAGAACGAACACUCUUGGAGACCAGAGGGAGCUCCACUAGGGAGCUCACAGGUAGCAUGUCCCCCUAAGGAGGAAGAGGACCAGCUCUGCCUCCCACCAACUGGAUCCCUCCAGAUUUACACCCCACCUUCGCUGAUAUAGUCAGAAAGAAGCACCAAAUGCUGACAUAAUAUUGUAGGUGGGAAGAGAUGACAAUGGGCAAUGACUUAAAAUACUAUGCUAGCGUCUGGAACAGUCUUCAGUAUUCUAAAUUUGCAAAGGUAAAUAAAUGAUGAAGCAAGCACCGUGCUUGGAGAGUUGUGCAUUGCCCCCUGGGAGUUCUUCCGUAGGACAGACUUUAGGUGUCAGGUUCUUCUACCAGUCUCAAUGCUCUGCUUGCUGGAAGAGCUGGACCUGUCAACAGUGGGCUGGGCCCUUCUUCACCCUGCCUACAGCCCCAGGGGGAUCCUCCAUUCUGACUUUUAGGACCUUCUUCUUUGUCAGUACCCAGCUCUUGUGUGGAGCUGGGACAUAAAAAGAGUUGGUAGGAGAUGAACAAAAAGACCAGAUUCCAUCAAAAGGGCGGAUCCCAGUGUCCUCAAGGCCUACUCCUGCCCAUAGCGCCCGUGUCUUCCCCUCCAGCUCCCUUAUGAAGCAGACAGGCUCUUGCAGUGGGCUGAGCAAAGGAAGCCAAAAUGAAGCAGGCGGUCAUUUUCUGCCCAUGCUGCGUGCAGCCUAUUGGGCAUCCCAGGGCUCACUACCUCGGAUGGGCAAGGGCCUCUGUUCCCUUGCCUUGCUCCUCUACAUGGAUCCUCACACAUUCACUCUCUCCCACUUGCUUACCGGAACCUGCGCAGAACUGUAUCACUUGCUUGUCGCAGAGGAGGAAACUGAGGAACUGAUGGGCAGUGUAUUCUUCGUGAGAAGAGAAGUGGACGUAUCACCUUCAGCUCUGAACAUGAGUGACUUUCCCACAGCGCCCCAUCUGCUUCCUUUUAGCUCUUUGAGCACUCGAGUCUCUCCUUAGGUGAUGCCACUACCUCAGUGAUGUAAGCUGGCUGUGCAUCCCCCGAGGCUGGGCUGUUGACAAGUGGAAUAAUUCUCCCUAAGCACAGAAUUGGACGUUAUUGCCUUAGCACAUGGCUACGCUGGGGAAGGAGCGCAGUUUUAUAAUGUGCCUUUGGCUUCUGCGGCUCCCAUGAAGAGGUAUGACAUCUGAGACAACCAUGCUGUGAGGAAAUUCUGGCAACAUAAAAAGUCAUUUUCUCUCUUCGUUAUUCCGGUCCACUAGAUGACAGAUGCAUGGACACUGUUGGGCAACUGAAAUACCAGAAGCUUCUUUUUCACAGUUCUGGAGACUAUGAAGUCCACGAGGAAGCGGGUAAAUAAUCUGGCUCUCUGUCAAGGCUCUUGUGCUAUGCAGACACCUGCUUCCUUGCUGUGUCUCACAGGAUUGGGAGAGAAUGAUCUCCCCCCCCCCCAUUUCUUAUAAAGCUGCUAAUCCCACCACUCCCUCAUGAUUUACCUUCAUGACCUCCUCUUAUUCAGGAUAAGAAGAUUCAGUACAAAUAUAGUCAACAUAUGAACAGAGGAGGCAACAUAAUCCCACCCAUCAAAUUCUCUCAACUCCUAAAUCCUUCAACCAACUGAAGGUCCUAGAUGUAUUAGAGCACUGAUAUUAACAAAACAAAACCAAAAUCUCACUGUUCCAUUCUUUUUUCAAACUCCAAGCCCACAGAAUUUAUAAGCACAAUGAAAUAGUUGCUUUAAUCCGCACUUCCUUAAGUUAAUUUGUUAUGACCUAAUGUACACUCAUGACUGGUUGUGUACAUGUGCAUGGUGGGGGGUGGGGGUGGCUGAUGCACCUGCUUUUGAAAAGGUGCUGUCAGGGUAUUACAGAAAGAGAGCAGAAGAAGAACAGAGGAUGAGGGGGUCAAGCGCCAUUACGUGCUGGAAAAGACAUGGGAUGGCGACUUCUUCACAGCACCCAUACACUAGCCUUUACUAAAGGUACAGGCUACUUGGAAUACUCGUAUGCACAACACCCAAGGCAAGGCUCAUGCACUGGACACUGCAAUGGAAUGUAGUAAAAAUCAUUCUCAGGGCAGGAGAUCCAGCACAGAAAGUAAAGGAGCAGCAUCUGCUUGCGACCCCGGUGCUAGGAAGGUGGGGACAGGAUGAUCCCCCGGCCCCCACUGGCCUGGCUAGUCUAGCCUAACUAAGUGAUCUUCAGGUCCAUGAGAAAUUCUUCCAUAAAGGGGGAUCCAUAGUGUUCCCGAGAGUGAUAAUCAAGACUUCCCUUUGGCGUUCACAAACGUGAACACUAAUGUGCAUGCACACUUUCACACACACACACAUGCAUACACACACACACACACCUGAACACAUAUGAACAUGCAUCCAUAUACACACUCAUUCUCACUAGGGGAUAAUGAUAGUAGGCCACAGGUUAAGAAAGACCAGUCAGGAUCAAGAGAAGAGCGUGGGACACAAACAACUGCUACUUAGAUCAGAUAGCGUCACACAACUAAAGCUGCCCAGUGUCCUCCACUAGGAGAAACCUUUGGCUGAACAGAGAAUUUUCUCUAGCCCGAGUUUUUGUUAGAUAAAAUCCUGAGUAAGACCAUGUAAGCCUUCAAUCACUAUUUAGUAUGAAACAUGAGCCGAGAGUAAGUGCAUCAAGAAAAGACUUUGGAGAGGAGGGAGAACAGAGAGGCUGGAGAAGGUCCAGGUGCACGUGCAACCUUCUCAAGAGCUGGGAAGUUUGUGUCUAAAGCCAGAGGAAGCUAACCUUAGAGUCUGUCUAAUGCCAUCUAUUUCACUAUAAUUAUUUACUUCUCUCUCUCUCUCUCUCUCUCUCUCUCCUCUCUCUCUCUCUCUCUCUCUCUCUCUGUGUGUGUGUGUGUGUGUACCUAUGGCGGUCAGAGGACAAUGGGCAGGAGUUGGCUCUCUCUUUCAACCUUGGAGAUUGAACUCAGGUCGUCCGACUUGGCAGCACGUUCCUUCACUAGCUGGUGAUCUCAUGGGCCCUUUUUUCCUUUCAGAGAUUUUUUUCUAGUACAGCAUAUUGGGUACCCGAAGCCUUGUUUGUGUUACAUGAUAACCAGACUCCAUGCAAACAACUCAUGUUGUCCUUUUGAGAAUUAAUCUGGGGACACCGAUGUGGGAAGGUUACAGGUGACGCUCCCACCACCUCAACAUCCCCUUGGACAUGUAGAGCUGCUGGUCAGGUAACUAUAGUAACUGACCCAUUUACAUCAUCUGUCAGUCCUCUAUGGUUUCCCCAGCCCAUAAGCCGCUACAAACGCCCUCCUUUCUACCCAAAGAAUGGCCACAGAGUUUUGAUUUGGAUACGAUUUUAAUAUUGAUUCUAGAAAGAGUAGAUGCAAUAAGAAAUGUGAGCCACAGGGAGUGGCAUGUUGGGAGGUGCAAAAGCUGAGCCUGCAGGUGCCACACGUAUGAAGCAGAACGGCCUAUGACUGUGUAGAACAGUGUCUUUGUGCAUGGCAGAUGCUGUGUAAGUGGCAUUUCCUCCUCCUUUGGACAUGAUGCCCCUAAGGACUGAAGCAACCUGGGAAGACUUUGGUUUCCUGCCCACAGUCUCCUCAUCUCCUAAUUUCCCUCCAGUUCCUUCUCUUCUCUUUUCUCCCCCUCGUCAUUCGACUUUUCCCUUUCUUCCUUCCUCCCUUCCUGCUCACUAUCAUUUAUGAUUGCUUUUCUUUGCUGUUUUAGAUUUUUCUCACUUGAUUUUUGUUUUUUUUCCUGCGAAUCUCUCCUUCCUUCUUUCCUCUUUUAGCAUCCCACAAGUCAUUGUUCUGUGUUAAUAACUCAACAAAGACAGAAAUCACACACACGCCUCUGUAUGAGUAAUCUUUUGUCUCCGUAGAAAGACUGAGAAGUCACAGAACCCCAGGGAAAGCCUUGGGAGUCUCACUGGGCCUGGCCUUGUCUCGGUGUUUUCCAUUCUUCAGUUCGGAGCUUCGCUCGAUUGAUUUUCCCUGUGAUGGUCUUGGGCAGGUUCGAGACAAACUCCACCUGGUGUGAGAAAUUAGAUCAGCGUGGGUUGACCACAGUGGCAUUGGACUUUUUUUUUUUUUUUUUUUUUUUUAGGAGUUGCUGUAAGCAUCAGCUCUUAAGGCUGGAGUGUCUAGAUACAUAACGGGGGAGUAUGGAGAUGUUCUGACGUCAGCUCUGUCUGCAAGAAGCCUCAGAAGGUCUCUGGACACCAGGGCAGGAAGAAGAUGGCUAACCCAGAGCGGGGAGGACCAGAGCAUUGGACUUUAUAUGUAGUCUCAACGAGAGAAGCAGUAAAAUGAACAUGGCGUGGCCCACAGGCAGACACCUGAACUUCCAUAACAAGCUCUGUAGGCUUCAGUUCCUACUCAAGUCAACUUUGGAAGGUCCCUGGAAGUCUCCAAGACUCAACUUAACUAUUAAGUACACUAAGGGACGGUAAUAUCUUUAGGUUGUUGUGGAGAUAUUAAGAGGUUGUUCAUGGAGUGGACAUGCAUGAAUGGCAGCUGUGGCCAUUCAUCUGAGCUAGAAGAGACAUCUGAAAUAGACAUCUAACUGGGGACCUGGCUUUGAAUUUUGUCUCAGUUCUUAUGUGUGGUUGGCCAAGCUACACAGUCUCACCGAUGCCAGCAUUCUCUCAUUUGAAGUGAAGGACCCACUCUGAUAUUCCCGAGUAUUAAGCUGUAGAUGUUGACAAUUCAUUGAGAGUUUCACUUAAGUGACUCCGCUGGCUAUGGCAUUAAUCUGGGGAUUGGUUGUCUGUAGAGCUAAUAAAAGGUAUUCACUGGGAUUCUGGUAAAGAAAACCUAUAUUC